This 403-nucleotide ribosomal RNA is filed under the name Fusobacteriota bacterium. RNAcentral describes it as "Fusobacteria bacterium partial 16S ribosomal RNA". It matches the Rfam family "Bacterial small subunit ribosomal RNA", at positions 355 to 776 of the family's 1533-position model. Lineage: Bacteria; Fusobacteriati; Fusobacteriota. The record is from RNAcentral.
UGGGGAAUAUUGCACAAUGGAGGGAACUCUGAUGCAGCGACGCCGCGUGAACGAAGAAGGCUUUCGAGUCGUAAAGUUCUUGUAUAUGGGAAGAUAAUGACGGUACCAUAAGAAAAAGCCCCGGCUAACUACGUGCCAGCAGCCGCGGUAAUACGUAGGGGGCUAGCGUUGUCCGGAAUCACUGGGCGUAAAGGGUUCGCAGGCGGAAAUGCAAGUCAGGUGUAAAAGGCAGUAGCUUAACUACUGUAAGCAUUUGAAACUGCAUAUCUUGAGAAGAGUAGAGGUAAGUGGAAUUUUUAGUGUAGCGGUGAAAUGCGUAGAUAUUAAAAAGAAUACCGGUGGCGAAGGCGACUUACUGGGCUCAUUCUGACGCUGAGGAACGAAAGCGUGGGUAGCAAACAGG